AGGCCCGUAGCUCAAUUGGCAGAGCGUUGGUCUCCAAAACCAAAGGUUCCAGGUUCGAUUCCUGGCGGGCCUG
Molecule: transfer RNA, 73 nt
Filed under: Candidatus Yanofskyibacteriota bacterium
Lineage: Bacteria; Candidatus Yanofskyibacteriota
Description: tRNA-Trp
Rfam family: tRNA
About the family: Transfer RNA (tRNA) molecules are approximately 80 nucleotides in length. Their secondary structure includes four short double-helical elements and three loops (D, anti-codon, and T loops). Further hydrogen bonds mediate the characteristic L-shaped molecular structure. tRNAs have two regions of fundamental functional importance: the anti-codon, which is responsible for specific mRNA codon recognition, and the 3' end, to which the tRNAs corresponding amino acid is attached (by aminoacyl-tRNA synthetases). tRNAs cope with the degeneracy of the genetic code in two manners: having more than one tRNA (with a specific anti-codon) for a particular amino acid; and 'wobble' base-pairing, i.e. permitting non-standard base-pairing at the 3rd anti-codon position.
Source: RNAcentral